Molecule: non-coding RNA, 107 nt
Organism: Gossypium raimondii (Peruvian cotton)
Lineage: Eukaryota; Viridiplantae; Streptophyta; Magnoliopsida; Malvales; Malvaceae
Source: Rfam
AUUCUAUGAUGAGGACACUUCCAUAAUAAUUCUUUGUACCUUUCCCAUGCCUCAUACAAUGAUUCAUCAUCCAUUUGUUGUAAAACAGUGAUCUAGUUCCUCAACUU